UUAUUAUGAGAGUUUGAUCCUGGCUCAGGACGAACGCUGGCGGCGUGCCUAAUACAUGCAAGUCGAACGCUUCUUUCCUCCCGAGUGCUUGCACUCGAUUGGAAAGAGGAGUGGCGGACGGGUGAGUAACACGUGGGUAACCUACCCAUCAGAGGGGGAUAACACUUGGAAACAGGUGCUAAUACCGCAUAACAGUUUAUGCCGCAU
Molecule: ribosomal RNA, 207 nt
Filed under: Enterococcus faecalis
Lineage: Bacteria; Bacillati; Bacillota; Bacilli; Lactobacillales; Enterococcaceae
Description: partial 16S ribosomal RNA
Rfam family: Bacterial small subunit ribosomal RNA
Source: RNAcentral